AGAUUGAACGCUGGCGGCAUGCUUUACACAUGCAAGUCGAACGGUAACAGACCGCAAGGUGCUGACGAGUGGCGAACGGGUGAGUAAUGCAUCGGAACGUGCCCAGUCGUGGGGGAUAACGCAGCGAAAGCUGUGCUAAUACCGCAUACGAUCUAUGGAUGAAAGCGGGGGACCGAAAGGCCUCGCGCGAUUGGAGCGGCCGAUGUCAGAUUAGCUAGUUGGUGGGUAAAGGCCCACCAAGGCGACGAUCUGUAGCUGGUACUGACGAGGACGACCAGCCGACACUGGAACUGAGACACGGUCCAGACUCCGUACGGGAGGCAGCAGUGGGGAAUUUUGGACAAGUGGGCGCGAAGCCUGAUCCAGCAAUGCCGAGUGACAGGAAGAAGG
Molecule: ribosomal RNA, 390 nt
Filed under: uncultured soil bacterium
Lineage: Bacteria
Description: bacterial SSU rRNA
Rfam family: Bacterial small subunit ribosomal RNA
Source: RNAcentral